Molecule: ribosomal RNA, 445 nt
Filed under: Felisacus sp. 20020C-4
Lineage: Eukaryota; Metazoa; Arthropoda; Insecta; Hemiptera; Miridae
Description: partial large subunit ribosomal RNA
Rfam family: Archaeal large subunit ribosomal RNA (bases 319-445)
Source: RNAcentral
GACUGUACAAAGGUAGCAUAAUAAUUUGGUUUUUAAUUGGGAUCUGGUAUGAAUGAUUUGACGAAAAAUAUACUUUCUUUAUUUUAUAUAAAAAAUUUUAUUUUUAAUUUAAAAAGAUUAAAUUUAAUUAUAAGACGAUAAGACCCUAUAGAGCUUUAUUUAUUUAAUUAUAUAUAUAUUUAGUUUAUUUAUGUCUAUAUAAUUAAGUGACUUUUGUUGGGGUGACAGAAAAAAAAUUAUAACUUUUUCUAUUUUUUACAUUUAUAUAUGUUUUUGGUUGAUCCUUUAAUAUGGAUAAUAAGAUAUAGUUACCUUAGGGAUAACAGCGUUAUUGUCUUGGAGAGUUCAUAUCUAUAAGACAGUUUGCGACCUCGAUGUUGGAUUAAAAUUAGUUUUGGGGGUAGGUUUUCAAUAACUAGGUCUGUUCGACCUUUAAAUUUUUACA